UUAUCCUCAUAAGUUUGACAAUAAGAGAAACCAUAAAAAAUUUAAAUUAUUAAUUUAAAUAAUAAUAUGGUAUAAUAAAAUCGGAGGCCACGACUGUUUACUAAAAACACAAUUCAGAGCAAUGAUUAAGAUAAUAGUAUUCUGGAUGAAAUUUGCUCAAUGCCAUUAAUAUAAGAGAGGUAAUUUUAAAGUUACUAAUCGAAAAUCUGGUUAAUAGCGGUCUUAACUAUGAGGAUCCUAAGGUAGCAAAAUAAAUUGGCCAUUAAAUGUGGUCUUGUAUCAAUAAUGUAACGAUGGUCUCACUGUCUCUACAACUUGCUCAGUGAAAUUGAAUUGCGAGUGCAGAUGCUCGCUAUCUUCAGAGGGACGGGAAGACCCUAU
RNAcentral lists this ribosomal RNA (381 nucleotides) under Russula aff. annulata C66gn. RNAcentral describes it as "LSU rRNA". It matches the Rfam family "Bacterial large subunit ribosomal RNA", at positions 1722 to 2094 of the family's 2925-position model. The record is from RNAcentral. Lineage: Eukaryota; Fungi; Basidiomycota; Agaricomycetes; Russulales; Russulaceae.